RNAcentral lists this ribosomal RNA (253 nucleotides) under uncultured bacterium. Its description in RNAcentral is "partial 16S ribosomal RNA". It matches the Rfam family "Bacterial small subunit ribosomal RNA", at positions 524 to 776 of the family's 1533-position model. The record is from RNAcentral.
UACGUAGGGCGCAAGCGUUAUCCGGAAUUAUUGGGCGUAAAGAGCUCGUAGGCGGUUUGUCGCGUCUGCCGUGAAAGUCCGGGGCUCAACUCCGGAUCUGCGGCGGGUACGGGCAGACUAGAGUGAUGUAGGGGAGACUGGAAUUCCUGGUGUAGCGGUGAAAUGCGCAGAUAUCAGGAGGAACACCGGUGGCGAAGGCGGGUCUCUGGACCAUUACUGACGCUCAACUGCGAAAGCCAGGGGAGAGAACGGG